CUACGGGAGGCUCCAGUGAGGAAUAUUGCACAAUGGGGGGAACCCUGAUGCAGCAACGCCGCGUGGAGGAUGACGCAUUUCGGUGUGUAAACUCCUUUUAUAUGUCAAGAAAAUGACGGUAGCAUAUGAAUAAGCACCGGCUAACUCCGUGCCAGCAGCCGCGGUAAUACGGAGGGUGCAAGCGUUACUCGGAAUCACUGGGCGUAAAGGAAGCGUAGGCGGGUUGGAAAGUCAGGUGUGAAAUCCUACAGCUUAACUGUAGAACUGCACUUGAAACUUCUAAUCUAGAGUAUGGGAGGGGGAGAUGGAAUUAGUGGUGUAGGGGUAAAAUCCGUAGAUAUCACUAGGAAUACCUAAAGCGAAGGCGAUCUCCUGGAACAUUACUGACGCUAAGGCGUGAAAGCGUGGGGAGCAAACAGGAUUAGAAUACCCCUGUAGUC
RNAcentral lists this ribosomal RNA (440 nucleotides) under uncultured bacterium. RNAcentral describes it as "partial 16S ribosomal RNA". It matches the Rfam family "Bacterial small subunit ribosomal RNA", at positions 339 to 795 of the family's 1533-position model. The record is from RNAcentral.